Molecule: ribosomal RNA, 776 nt
Filed under: uncultured Neocallimastigales
Lineage: Eukaryota; Fungi; Neocallimastigomycota; Neocallimastigomycetes; Neocallimastigales
Description: partial large subunit ribosomal RNA
Rfam family: Eukaryotic large subunit ribosomal RNA
Source: RNAcentral
UGUACACGCUGUGACUAGCAUAUCAAUAAGCGGAGGAAAAGAAACUAACAAGGAUUCCCCUAGUAACGGCGAGUGAAGCGGGAAGAGCUCAAAUUUGAAAUCUUAAAGGGUUUCCCUUUACGAAUUGUAGUUUAAAGAAGUGUUUUCUGUUGAGGUUUUGGUAAAAGUUCUUUGGAAUAGGACAUCAUAGAGGGUGAGAAUCCCGUAUUUGACCUUUACUUUCAACUUUGUGAUACACUUUCAAAGAGUCGGAUUGUUUGGGAAUGCAGUCCAAAAUGGGUGGUAAAUUUCAUCUAAAGCUAAAUAUUGGCGAGAGACCGAUAGCGAACAAGUACCGUGAGGGAAAGAUGAAAAGAACUUUGAAAAGAGAGUUAAACAGUACGUGAAAUUGUCAAAAGGGAAGCGUUUGACACCAGUGUUGUUUUUCUGAAAAUCAAUUAAAGAACUGUUUAUGCUAAGCUGUUUAGACUUUAUCAGCUAAUCUGUUUAGUUUUGAGCUUUUCUUUAAUGCACUUUUCAGUUAACAAGUCAACAUCAAUUUCUUUUGCUGUAAAAAAGCUUGAGGAAGGUGGCUUGAGAUUCGUCUUAAGUGUUUAUAGCCUCUUGCCUAUGCAGUCGGAGAGAUUGAGGUCUGCAGCGUAGAUCCUUCGGGGCUAAAUGCAUUUGUGCUAAGUUAUAGCAUUUUAUAGACAACUUGUUGACUAUGAUUUGUCUUGUAGCUUACUCGCUUAUGUUAUUUUACCUACGCUUAGGAUGUUGAAGAUGUAGCACAUCAU